AGAUACCCCACUAUGCCUCUCCGUAAACUUUAAACUACAUCCAUAUCGCCUGGGAACUACGAGCAAAGCUUAAAACCCAAAGGACUUGACGGUGCCCCAUAUCCGCCUAGAGGAGCCUGUCCUAUAAUCGAUAACCCCCGUUUAACCUCACCAUUUUUAGCCUAACAGCCUGUAUACCUCCGUCGUCAGCUUACCACGUGAGCGACCCUCAGUAAGUAUAAUGGUUAUCACCAAUACGUCAGGUCAAGGUGCAGCAAAUAAAAUGGGAAGAGAUGGGCUACACUCUCUAUCCUAGAGUACACGAAAAACUAUUUAUGAAAUCUAGUCAGAAGGAGGAUUUAGCAGUAAAAGAGGACGAGAGAGCCCCUUUUAACACGGCCCUGGGGUGUGUACACACCGCCCGUCACCCUCUUCGAAACAACAAAAAAAAGUUCAUAACACAUUACAGCCCAAGAGAAGAGGCAAGUCGUAACAUGGUAAGUAUACCGGAAGGUGUGCUUGGAAA
This 505-nucleotide ribosomal RNA is filed under the name Phyllodytes sp. 7 BLB-2020. RNAcentral describes it as "partial 12S ribosomal RNA". It matches the Rfam family "Bacterial small subunit ribosomal RNA", at positions 780 to 1522 of the family's 1533-position model. Lineage: Eukaryota; Metazoa; Chordata; Amphibia; Anura; Hylidae. The record is from RNAcentral.